GAUGAACGCUGGCGGCGUGCUUAACACAUGCAAGUCGAACGGAAAGGCCCUGCUUUUGUGGGGUGCUCGAGUGGCGAACGGGUGAGUAUCACGUGAGUAACCUGUACUUGUCUUUGGGAUAUCUUCAGGAAAAUGGGGCUAAUAUAGGAGAGGAUCUCUUGCAGCACGGUGGGGGUUGGAAAGUUUCGGCGGUUGGGGAUGGACUCGCGGCUUAACAGCUUGCUGGUGGGGUAGUGGCUUACCAAGGCUUCGACGGGUAGCCGGCCUGAGAGGGUGACCGGCCACAAUAGGACUGAGGUACGGACCAGACGGCAACGUGAGGCAACGGUGGGAAAUAUUGCGCAGUGGGCGGGAGCGUGAUACAGCGACGCCGCGUGCGGGAUGACGGCCUUCGGGGUAUGAACCGAUUUCGCCGGUGACGAGGCGUGAUUGACGGUAAUGAGUAAAGAAGCACCGGCUAACUACGUG
Molecule: ribosomal RNA, 468 nt
Filed under: uncultured bacterium
Lineage: Bacteria
Description: partial 16S ribosomal RNA
Rfam family: Bacterial small subunit ribosomal RNA
Source: RNAcentral